RNAcentral lists this ribosomal RNA (407 nucleotides) under uncultured bacterium. Its description in RNAcentral is "partial 16S ribosomal RNA". It matches the Rfam family "Bacterial small subunit ribosomal RNA", at positions 28 to 526 of the family's 1533-position model. The record is from RNAcentral.
GACGAACGCUGGCGGCGUGCCUAAUACAUGCAAGUAGAACGCAGUUGCGAACGCGUGAGUAACGCGUAGGUAACCGCCCGCUAGCGGGGGAUAACAAUCUGACACGAUAGCUAAUACCCCAUACUACCAGAUGGACCUGCGCUGUAUUAGCUAGUUGGUGAGGUAACGGCUCACCAAGGCAAGGAAACAUAGCCGACCUGAGAGGGGGAUCGGCCAACCUGGGACUUAGGACCGGCCCCGACUCCUACGGGAGGGAGGAGUAGGGAAUCUUCGGCAAUGGGAGGAACCCUGACCGGGGAACGCCGCGUGAGUGAAGAAGGUUUUCGGGUCGGAAAGCUCGGGUGUUAAGGGAGCGGUACUUAACCAGAAAGGGACGGCUAACUACGUGCCAGCAGCCGCGGUAAUUC